AGCAGCCGCGGUAAUUCCAGCUCCAAUAGCGUAUAUUAAAGUUGUUGCAGUUAAAAAGCUCGUAGUUGAAUUUCGGGGUCAGUAGUUUGGUCGUGCCAACGGUAUGUACUGGGCUCACUGAUUCCUCCUUCCUGAUGAACUGUAAUGCCAUUAAUUUGGUGUUGCAGGGAAACUGGACUGUUACUUUGAAAAAAUUAGAGUGUUUAAAGCAAGCUAACGCUUGAAUACAUUAGCAUGGAAUAAUGAAAUAGGACGUUCGAUCCUAUUUUGUUGGUUUCUAGGAUUGACGUAAUGAUUAAUAGGGAUAGUUGGGGGCAUUAGUAUUCAAUUGUCAGAGGUGAAAUUCUUGGAUUUAUUGAAGACUAACUACUGCGAAAGCAUUUGCCAAGGAUGUUUUCAUUAAUCAAGAACGAAAGUUAGGGGAUCGAAGACGAUCAGAUACCGUCGUAG
Molecule: ribosomal RNA, 450 nt
Filed under: uncultured Glomeromycotina
Lineage: Eukaryota; Fungi; Glomeromycota
Description: SSU rRNA
Rfam family: Eukaryotic small subunit ribosomal RNA
Source: RNAcentral